UACGGAGGGAGCUAGCGUUGUUCGGAAUUACUGGGCGUAAAGCGCGCGUAGGCGGCUUUGUAAGUUAGAGGUGAAAGCCCGGGGCUCAACCCCGGAACUGCCUUUAAAACUGCAUCGCUUGAAUCCGGGAGAGGUGAGUGGAAUUCCGAGUGUAGAGGUGAAAUUCGUAGAUAUUCGGAAGAACACCAGUGGCGAAGGCGACUUACUGGACACAUAUUGACGCUGAGGUGCGAAAGCGUGGGGAGCAAACAGG
Molecule: ribosomal RNA, 253 nt
Filed under: uncultured bacterium
Lineage: Bacteria
Description: partial 16S ribosomal RNA
Rfam family: Bacterial small subunit ribosomal RNA
Source: RNAcentral